GAUUAAAAGCAGAACGAAGCCGCAGGGGGCCGCUGCGGGGAGGGUCUUCUUGGGUUCGCCUUGCCCCGCCCCAGUCCCGCCGCUGUGCGGGUUCGAGAGGCUGCUCCGCAGGCCUGGGUGUCCAGGGCAUGAGCGGGGUGUGGGGUGCCGGAGGGCCUCGGUGCCAGGCGGCGCUCGCGGUCCUGGCCUCACUGUGCCGGGCCCGGCCGCCUCCUCUUGGGCUGGACGUGGAGACUUGUCGGAGCUUCGAACUGCAGCCCCCAGAGAGGAGUCCGAGCGCUGCCGACGCAGGUACCUCUGUCAGCCUCCUUGCCUUGGUAGUUAUUGUGUGUGGUGUGGCCCUGGUGGCAGUUUUUCUCUUUCUCUUUUGGAAGCUGUGCUGGAUGCCCUGGAGGAACAAGGAGGCCUCCAGUCCUUCUUCUGCUAACCCUCCUUUGGAGGCCCUCCAGAGUCCCAGCUCCAGAGGCAAUAUGGCGGACAAGCUGAAGGACCCCAGCACCCUGGGCUUCCUGGAGGCUGCCGUGAAGAUUAGCCACACAUCUCCAGAUAUCCCAGCUGAGGUACAGAUGUCCGUCAAGGAGCAUAUCAUGCGUCACACCCGCUUGCAGCGACAGACCACAGAGCCAGCAUCAUCCACCAGGCACACAUCCUUCAAGCGCCACCUGCCACGACAGAUGCAUGUCUCCAGUGUAGACUAUGGCAAUGAGCUGCCACCGGCAGCUGAGCAACCCACCAGCAUCGGCCGCAUCAAGCCUGAGCUAUACAAGCAGAAGUCGGUGGAUGGCGAGGAAGCCAAGUCUGAGGCCACGAAGAGCUGUGGGAAGAUCAACUUUAGCCUACGCUACGACUACGAGAGUGAGACCUUGAUUGUGCGCAUCCUGAAGGCCUUUGAUCUCCCUGCCAAGGACUUUUGUGGAAGCUCUGACCCUUAUGUCAAGAUCUACCUCCUGCCUGACCGCAAAUGCAAGCUGCAGACCCGGGUGCACCGCAAGACCCUGAACCCCACCUUCGAUGAAAACUUCCACUUCCCCGUGCCCUAUGAGGAGCUGGCAGACCGUAAGCUGCAUCUCAGUGUCUUUGACUUCGAUCGCUUUUCCCGCCAUGACAUGAUCGGGGAGGUCAUCCUGGACAACCUCUUUGAGGCCUCUGACCUGUCCCGGGAAACCUCCAUCUGGAAGGACAUCCAGUAUGCCACCAGUGAAAGUGUGGACUUGGGAGAGAUCAUGUUCUCCCUCUGCUACCUGCCCACAGCAGGCAGGCUAACCCUCACGGUGAUCAAAUGUCGCAACCUCAAGGCAAUGGACAUCACAGGCUAUUCAGAUCCCUACGUCAAAGUGUCCCUGCUUUGUGAUGGGCGGAGGCUGAAGAAGAAGAAAACAACCAUAAAGAAGAACACUCUCAAUCCUGUCUACAAUGAGGCCAUCAUCUUUGACAUUCCCCCAGAAAACAUGGAUCAAGUCAGUCUGCUCAUCUCAGUGAUGGAUUACGAUCGAGUGGGUCACAAUGAGAUCAUAGGAGUCUGUCGUGUGGGGAUCAAUGCUGAAGGCCUGGGCAGGGACCACUGGAACGAGAUGCUGGCAUACCCACGGAAGCCCAUCGCACACUGGCACUCCUUGGUGGAAGUAAAGAAAUCCUUCAAAGAGGGAAACCCUCGAUUGUGAUUUCAUUCACGUGGAUGCUGCAAAGCAGAGAGACUACCACCUGGAGUUAGGAUGGCAGGGCCGCGCUGCCAGCUUCGACAGCGAGAGCUCGUGCCCGUCUCCAAAACCACCUCCGACACCAUGAGCUGCGAGGCCGCGCCACACAAACGGGACUCAGCAAUGUUGUUUUCGCACGUGUUCAGCCGUCUAAAUGCAGUGUUGUGCAGUCGCGGUGCGGCAGUGGCCGUCUGCCACUCCAGAGUCUUAACUGCUCCUGUGUAGGUCAAGGCCGAGACACUUGUCCUGUGGUCAGAUCUGUCUUAGUCUUUUCUGUCUCCCAGGUGAUGUUCUUGUGGUUUUUCACUUUGUAUGGGUCUGCUGUCAAGAAAAGAAGAAAACAAAAAAACAAGCAGUAAGGAAAAAAUAAAACAAACAAACAAAAUGGUUGGAGAGCCCAGAAGCCGGUUCUGUAAAAUGCAAUGUAAAAUAGAAUUGGUCUUUGCAGGAGAGGUGGAUUGAAUUUUUAAGAUUUUGUGUCUCCACCAACCUCUGCCACCCUGCAGGAGGCAGUGGCGUGGAGCUAUGGCUACGUUUUCAGUGCCCUGCAGGAACAGUGCAAAUCAAUUCAAGAGUAAGUAUUACUCUUUGAAGUUCUUCGCUGGUGUGACAUAAACCAAGAUGCGAACUCCUGACCCCAUGUUGAAAUCACAGAACCUCCGCGGUGUUUGUGAACUUCUGCUGGUGUGCAGGGGCUUCUCGCUUGCCUUUCUCAUUGGCUUUCCUUCUGAACUGAAAAUGUCUUGAUUCCUCAUGGGAACUUAGUCACUUUCUUUAGGAAUGAUUCUGCUCAAACUAACCAGGCCAUAUGUUUUCUGAUGCAUCACGGUUAAUGAUCACAUUUGUUUGAAAACAGGAUCUUUGUUCUCAAAAAUAGCCUUGGUUGUAAAGAAAGACAGGCACAUAUGUUCUAGAAUGAUUUCUGCAUUAUACAUAGCUUUGUAGUUUCAUGAAGUGUCAAGCAACUGUUUUAGAUGCCUAAAGAGAUCAAAAGAAAACCUAGAUAGAAUAUUCUUUUCUGGAUGGGAAGUUUCGAAAUCCAAGUCACAGCUCGAAUCCCUCUUUCUGGGAAGAGUAGCUUCUUGGUUGAAAUUCAGUCAACCUAAUCCUACUUCAGCCCCAAGGACUCUGGGACAGUACUCAUCUUGAAUUUAGUUCCAUAAAUCACUAGGAAUUCAGUGUUUGUUUUGUGAUAGUGAGGGGUUUUGUUUUUGUUUUUCCCUUUAGAUCUCUACCUUAGGCUGAAUUCAGUAUAGUGGAAAAAAAGUUUGAACUAUUUUGUAAUUGUAAUAACACAUUCCUAUUGUGUUGAUAGUGGCCUUUACACCAACCCCUAUAACUAGGCUGAUUUGCUCAAUCUCUGUUUGGUCCUGGGAAGCACAUGGAGGAGGGUUUCCACUUCAUGUUUUGACUACCUACACAAUGCCAACUUCCAGAGCUGCAAGUAUAACCCACAAGAAGCAAGUCAGUGAACAAACCCCAUCUUUCAACAAUGGAAGGUUAAGAACUCACACACCUUGUAUCUUAUUCUUACAUAUGUCACAUGCCACAAGAGGAACACCUUAAAAGUAACCAUCAUUUUAAGCCACGUUAUGUUUCUCUGCCAAUAUAACUUUAGGUAGUAUCUGCUAGCCCUAAAAGUGACCAGAUUGGCUAACAGGAUAUCAUGGUGAAAGAAGUUUACAACCUAGAAAAGUAAAUGUAGAUGAAUCUAAACUCCACUCUGUAUUGAGCCUCAGGCCAAGGACUAAUGUGCAAAGAUAACUUUUCUCCCCCAAAUUCUUGUGAUUGAUUGGUCUUCCUAGUCAGGUAGUCCUGCAGUUGGAGUGAGAAAAAACUCAAGAUCGUGACAAGACUCCAAGCAGGUGACAAACUUCUUAUGUUUCUUGCCUCUAGUCUGACCCCAUCUCAAUCAUUGAGCAGAUGCAGGAAGUCUUGCUCUAUGAAGGAGACAAUUGAGUUUCCUGGGUCAUAAGGAGCCCAGAAAUUAGUGUGAGAGGGUCCUCUCAGAAGUGAGCUCAAAAUGCAUGUCCAGCUGUCAUCUAUAAAACCUUAGGCAGGGGAUGAUGGCCCAUUCAAACCUUCUGCUCAACGGGAAUUGUGGGAUCAUAUUGUUCAUCUGAGAGAUUUAUAUCAAGCAGCUUUCUCAUACAAGUGAACAUUCCAAUAGUUUCAGAUCAUUUCCUGGAAAGAUUAUGACCAGCCCCACAACACCCCAACCAACUGCUACCACUAUGGCUCCAGCAGUCUAGGUAAAUUCCUACAGGCAUCAGAACCCACCCUAGGAAGGCUUUAGCUUCUGGACACCCCACCCACCCCCGCCCACACACACACCCCAGUGCCAUUAGGAGAAGCCAGUCUUCGACCUGAAGCACGAAUGAGACCUAAACAGCAGCCAGCUCAUCAUCUAGCCCACCAUCCCUCCCUUGCAGAUGACAGUAAAUUGAAAUCCAAGUUUCAGAAUUCGCUGACAUUCAAAGUUGAUUCAUUUGUCCUCUGCUUUCUCUGGCAUGGGAAUCCUCUUGGGUGGUAGUUGUGGGCUUUGUUGAAGUUGUGAUAACCAGGGCCAUUUGCACACAGAUGUUUAUUUAAAAAACACAGAGUACCCUUCUCCUUUAUUCUGCAGUGUUUCUGGGCUGUCCCUUCCCCCUCUGCGCUUACCCGGGAUGUUAAUUAAUUGUAUCAUCAUUUAAAAAAUUAUGUUGUUAAUUACUGCUUUGUGUCUUCCCACCCCUGUCACAGCCUGGAGUUUUUAUUCAAUUAAAUCUCUGUCU
Molecule: RNA transcript, 4471 nt
Organism: Sciurus carolinensis (gray squirrel)
Lineage: Eukaryota; Metazoa; Chordata; Mammalia; Rodentia; Sciuridae
Gene: Syt6
Gene name: synaptotagmin 6
Exons: 8
Source: RefSeq, a predicted model, not a curated record